AAGUGGCUUCGUCGAAUAGCGGCAUAUGCACGAGGUAAUUGCAAUGUCAGCACUGAAAAAGGCCAAAAAAUCCCAUGUGCCGGUAUUGUAGUUAUAGGAGACGAAAUACUCAAAGGCGAAGUGUUCGAUACAAAUUCUACAUUUCUUGCAAAGGAAUUGCAUAGAUUGGGCCUGAAGUUGAAAAAGAUUUCUGUAGUCUCUGACGACGUACAGGAAAUCGGAGACGAAAUUAGACUAUUUUCCAAAACAUUUGACUAUGUUUUAACUACAGGGGGAAUAGGGCCCACUCAUGAUGAUGUUACUUACGAAGGCGUAGCGCUUGCCUUUAAUGAGCCCCUUGUUCUACACCCAGAGUUGAAAGAUAUCUGCUGUGAAUUUUACAGAACUACAGACCCUUUAUCUGCCGGUAUGAAGCUGGCUUAUAAACUUUCAGAUUCCGCGCUCGUCAAGGCUUCACUAUAAAACCGUUUCCGGGGCAAAUUUAUCUUACCCAAAUGUGUCUGUAAAAAACGUCUACAUGUUCCCCGGAAUACCAGAACUGCUAAAGAAAACAGUGUCAGAAGUCGGUCCAUUAUUGUUUAGAUCGAACAAACGGUUCUUUACUCGAGCAUUCUACUGUAACGUAGCAGAAUAUCGAAUUAUUACAGAACUGCAACAAGUUGUAGAUGAAUUUCCAAGCGUUCAGUUUGGAUGUUACCCUAAAUUGCAUCACAGUAUUUACCAGGUGAAAAUAACAGUGGAAUCCUGCUGUGAAGAUUCAACUUCAAAGGCCUACGAGAGGUUGAAGGAGUUAAUCCCUGCACAUUAUAUUGUGGAUGUAGAAGACUGAAACAUACAAGAUAGUUUACUCUUUUAUUUCCACUGCAGUCUUCCAUGCCACCCAGUCCAUUUCCUGAUGUAUCAGGUGCGUUUCUCAGUUUCUCAGCUUUGUUUAUUAAAUAACUUGAUCAACCAAUAGUUUAACCUCACCAUACCCCAGAUUUCCUAAAAUAUUUUUGGCAAAAUUAUUAAACAGGGUUUUAUGCGCGCAAUUGCAACAAAGUGGGUACCAGAUUUUCUGGAAAAGUUGACAUUAUUAUACCCAGUACCGGAUUUGAAUAUAUAUAUUUUUUAUUUUUUUGCUAUUAUUUCAAGCGUAAGGGAUGUUGAUUUGUUAUAUUCCAUGAUAAAUAAUGCGGAAAAUACCCAGCCAGGUUUUAGCGGUUUUUGGUGAUUCGAAAAAUGGCACGCCUCACUCGAUCUUGUGAUUCCUGAAAGGUGACAAAAAGGGGAUAUUUUCGUCGUUUUUCACACAUAGAAUUUGUUGUUCUAAAAUAUUCAUUGUUACUAAAAUAAGUGCUUGCGACAACAUCCACAUUUUCAGUUUACUUAUAUUUAUAUGGACCUGUGUGGAAUCGUUGGGAUACGGCACUGGAUAAAUGGCAAAAGGUGUUUCUUUACGCCCAAAGCAAUGUUGUACCCGAAGGGCUGAAUACAACUAUAAUUGGAAAGUUAUAGCAAAUCCUUCGAGCUAAACCACAGCACUGGUUUAAUCAUAAAACCUGAAUAGUCGCUUAGUUUAGAGUGUUUUCUGGCAUCUAAAUCAGUGUCCGAACGGUUCGGCAAAACAGGCAUAUAUUUUGGGUUUUUUAAGCACCAAAAACGUUUCUUUACGUCCAAACAGUGCCGGGCCUCUUGUGUGCAGCACAAAAGCAUUACACUGACAAAAGAAUGGAAAAGUCCGAUUUUUUGCACUUGAAACGCGCUUUUAUUGACCUGAAGUUGGAUAACCGGGUUUUUACCCAAUUUUUAUUUGUAACAAAAGCAAAUUUAGAGCUUGUAUUCGAAUUUUUAAUGUUUUUCCUUAAGAUCCAGACUCUUUUCAAAAAACUUAAAAUCAAAGGUUUUAUGAAUUAUUUAAGCUAGAAUUGAUGCUUCUAAAAGAACCAGAACCAGAACCAGUGGUGCAAUUAUUUAAUGUGGACACUUUGGCGACUCUCGAUCUUAAAAUACCCCUUAUCUAAGAAACGGUUGAAAAUAUUGUGAAAACUUUGCUAGCUCUCGAAGUUAAAAUACCACGUUCUAAGAAAUAGUUGUAUACAUCCCUUUAGCUCUUAGGACCUUUUCGAUAGCUCGUCUCGAUAUCUUUUACUACCAAAGUUUUUUCAAAAAUUCUCAAUCUUUCAAUAAAUACAAGCAAAAAUGUGAAAUUUGUUUUAAAAAAAUCAUUAGAAGAAUGGGCUUUUCGUAUUCGUAAUAGGCUUUACGUAUCCCAAAUGGAAACCACGCGUCUACUAGUUUUAGAAGCUGAAGAAAGAUGGUCUAACUGAACUUUGUGCUGAAUAAAUUGUGGCACGAUGGCCCCAUUAUUUGUCAUAGAUUAUGAAGAAUCAGCCUUUUUACUCUUAACGAAGAAAUAAGUUACAAAUUACUAAAAAAUAUAUUUUAAUGUCGGUUAUUUACUUUGAGUUUUACCAAAAAAAUCAAGCGCGUCCUUUUUUUUAAACUGCUGCUGUUUUAAAUUAGCGUGUUUUUGAAGUAGUUUAUUGAGGAAAACGGGUGGUUCAAAGAAAUAAACUACAACUCAUUUACAUAAUUUAUUAUCGAUAAAUAUUACAUAUUCUACUUAUUGAUAUAUAUUGAGCAUCCAGUAAUAUACAAGAAACAGUCCGAGCGUUCAAGCAGCAGAAAUAGCUACAAUAAUUACUUAAAUGCUAGGAUUUGAUAAAUAAUUGACUGCCAAUUAUUAUCAAAGGGUUUCUACCGGUCAAACAACUCGGACGUGUGUCAGGAUACGCAACACUGAUGAUGGUCGUUUCAAGGGGAUCUAGUUUUUGGCUAGAUCCCCGAAAAUCCCAAGUUUAAAACAAUAAAUGUACUACUAUCCCGUGAAUUAUAUUAUUUGAUCCGCCUACGACACUCGAAAAGGUUCUAAAUAUAAAUUUACAAAAGUGUAAAAAUUUACUCAGUCGAGUCAUAAUGUAUAUUUAUUGAGUAUAGUCAAGAUGACUGCGAUCACCCGAAUUAAAAUCGAUUGUUUUACGAAAUAUCGUGCUUAUUUUAGAGGGGAAGAUGCAUUUUGGAAGAAACCUACCCUUGAUUGAAACCCAUUGUGCGUGUUUAAUAGGAAAACGACGAGGCACCGAUUGUCCCUUUAAAAUGUUUGAUUUGAAGCAAUCAAGAUAGUAGAAAGAGUUCUGCUACUACUUACAACUAAGUCUAUUUAAACUGUACAAUUAUAUACAAAGCAUCCCAAUUUCAAUGUACAUGAUACAGUUUUAACUGGGCUGCCCUGUAUUAAGUACAACUGACCAAACGAAGAGGGUAAAUUUCUCAAGAUUCAACGACAAUUCCCCGAAAUUUUCCUGUGGUCACAAAAGAUGCCCGCCUAGCCUUUCAAGGUAAUCAGUUAACUAAUUGACUAGAAAACCAUCUCUUGCACAGGCGAUGUUAUUAUUAUUUUUUUUUAUGUAGAAGGCACACUAUACCUAAUCGUCCCAUUUUUUUUGGCACCCCAGAAUGCGUCAUAUAGUGCUGGACUAUAUUCGUCAAUUAAUAUAAAUCGUCUUUUUAUCACUUUGCACCGUUGUGCAGUUUAUGUCACUAAUUUACACGGUUUCAGUUUAAGCUUCUCAUCUUCUCCUUCGCAGGGCUGCGGCCGCGAUCAUCUGUCGAAGCAUUGGUUCUGGACUACAAGGUUUUGGAUCGCAUUUCAUUUGUCCAUCUCCACCGCAUCUGGAAAUAAGAUCAGUUUAUGUGUUAAACUAAGUCUCAAAGCAUUCGUUUAUUUAUUUAAGCCCUUCAUUAUUAGUUUCCUUGUUUCCCAAUAAGCCCAUUUUAAUAUUAAAACGGACAAAAUUUCAAAGAUUACGACAACCUAAAAACAGGGAUAAUUAGAAUUUGCCCAAUUCACUUAAUUCUUUGACUGUUUCUUGGUGGAGUAAGAAAUAUUGAUUCUUUAUUUUCUUUCACAAAUAAUGAGGAAAGCGCUGGACCAGCUUUUCGAAACAACCAACAGGGCGUCAAACGGUACCGUUUUACUUGAAUCCAAACCAUAAUCAACUUUUGGAAUUGGGUCUUAUUGAGAAAAUUUGAAUUUUUAAAUCAUUGCUUUAUAUUAAAAAUUAACAAAAUGACAGCAUAUUGUAUAAUUAUAAUUACAAUAAUCAGUUUUAUAUUUCUGUUUCUUUUGAAAAUAAGUCAUAGAUUAAAAAAGGCAAUGUGCACCAAAAAACGCAGUAUCUAAAGGAUUGAUUGGCUACAUUUUGGUUUCAAGUAAAACGGUGGUGCUUGAAAAACUGUGAAAAAACGUGCAUCGAUGUUUUCUCCAUUAUUUGUCAUGAAAAUUGAAGAAUCAACAUUUUUUUCCCUCGAGGUAGUUAGCCAAAAAUUAUGCUUCAAAUUACAAAAAUAUAUAUUGAAAUCGAUGAAUUAGUAUAAAAGUUAGGAGACUGAAAUUUUCCAAAAAAUCAGGUGCGCCACUUUUUUUUUGGAAUUGCGUAGUGCCCAACCAGCACAAUGACGUCAAAUACGUCACAUUGUACUCAGAUUUAUACAUGUGACAUUUUCGUUCAUAAGCGCCGUCAAUAAUACGUGAUUGUAGGUAGGCCUGGGUAACACUGUGUUGAGUUGCGCUUUUUUAGUUGUUGCCGCUCUCUGAGUUAACGAGUUAUAACUCAUCGGUUAAUGAGUGACUAAUUUAUUAAAGCUUUAUGAGAGCCGAGACUGAAACUUUCGUCUGUUUUAAGCCGAUAUUUGUCCAGCAAUUUUUCUUCUAAUUACAACUAACACGCUGUAACUUCCACGCGCUUUUCAUGUGGAAACGAGUCUCACUCGUUCUCAGUUCGAUAUUGUCAUACAUUUGAAUAUUUGAGGAGCGCAAUGAAAAACAUAACCACAAAAAAAACGUAAUAUGAAGGAGGUUUUGCUAUAAAAUAAUAAUUAGGAGAAUUUAUAUUAAUUUUUGCUGUUCGAAUGACAUUUUAUUGUUGUAUAAUAUUAGGUAUUUUUUUUAAAUAUUCCUUUUCCGUAUCAAUUUUACUGAAAAUAUUUCACGGUCGUUUUGCAAGGUCCUAUAAUUAUAACUAUUAAUUAACAUUUUCUGGCUCAUGCCAGAAAAGCUAAUGAACUCAAACAUUUAAAAUAUAUUUUUGUGAUCAAACUUUAUUAAGGUCUGAAUAAAUAUCUUCUAUUAUUUAUUAUCAUACGUAUUGUGAAAUGAAAAUUCAUUAUUCGACCACAUAAAGAAACAUUGAUUUGUUUUUUUAUGUAGUUAUUAAUUAUUUAAAUUAUGUUUCCCGGUAUGCAAUAAACAUGUACUUCCCUAAA
This is an RNA transcript of Dendroctonus ponderosae (mountain pine beetle), 5307 nucleotides long. It is a transcript of the gene named FAD synthase, with no coding region annotated. The transcript has 6 exons. NCBI's taxonomy places the organism in Eukaryota, Metazoa, Arthropoda, Insecta, Coleoptera, Curculionidae. The record is from RefSeq and is a predicted model, not a curated record.